RNAcentral lists this ribosomal RNA (262 nucleotides) under uncultured prokaryote. RNAcentral's name for it is "partial 16S ribosomal RNA". It matches the Rfam family "Bacterial small subunit ribosomal RNA", at positions 355 to 634 of the family's 1533-position model. The record is from RNAcentral.
UAGGGAAUAUUAGUAAUGGGCGAAAGCCUGAACUAGCAACACCGCGUGUGAGAAGAAGGCCUUCGGGUUGUAAAGCACUUUUUGAGAGGAUGAGGAAGGACGGUACUCUCAGAAUAAGUCUCGGCUAACUACGUGCCAGCAGCCGCGGUAACACGUAGGAAGCAAACGUUAUCCGGAUUUACUGGGCGUAAAGCGCGUGUAGGUGGUUUGGUAAGUAGAGCGUGAAAGCUCCUGGCUCAACUGGGAGAUGUCGUUCUAAACU